GAUGAACGCUGGCGGCGUGCCUAAUACAUGCAAGUCGAGCGAACAGACGAGGAGCUUGCUCCUCUGACGUUAGCGGCGGACGGGUGAGUAACACGUGGAUAACCUACCUAUAAGACUGGGAUAACUUCGGGAAACCGGAGCUAAUACCGGAUAAUAUAUUGAACCGCAUGGUUCAAUAGUGAAAGACGGUUUUGCUGCCACUUAUAGAUGGAUCCGCGCCGCAUUAGCUAGUUGGUAAGGUAACGGCUUACCAAGGCAACGAUGCGUAGCCGACCUGAGAGGGUGAUCGGCCACACUGGAACUGAGACACGGUCCAGACUCCUACGGGAGGCAGCAGUAGGGAAUCUUCCGCAGUGGGCGAAAGCCUGACGGAGCAACGCCGCGUGAGUGAUGAAGGUCUUCGGAUCGUAAAACUCUGUUAUUAGGGAAGAACAAAUGUGUAAGUAACUAUGCACGUCUGGACGGUACCUAAUCAGAAAGCCACGGCUAACUACGU
This 496-nucleotide ribosomal RNA is filed under the name uncultured bacterium. RNAcentral's name for it is "partial 16S ribosomal RNA". It matches the Rfam family "Bacterial small subunit ribosomal RNA", at positions 28 to 506 of the family's 1533-position model. The record is from RNAcentral.